GCCUUUAUAGCUCAGUGGUAGAGCGUUGCACUUGUAAUGCAAAGGUCCAUAGUUCAAUCCUGUGUGGAGGCA
Fusarium poae is the source of this 72-nucleotide non-coding RNA. NCBI's taxonomy places the organism in Eukaryota, Fungi, Ascomycota, Sordariomycetes, Hypocreales, Nectriaceae. The record is from Rfam.